CUAAAGAGGGUGGGCUUUGGCCUAUAAAAAGGUAUAAAAUAAUAAAUAACUGGAAAAAGUGAAAUAAAACGAAUGUUCGGCCGAAGAGAUGCAGGGGUAUAAGGGUUGCGGAAGAAACCGUGAUGUAAGGGAUGCUGGGAUGUAAGAGAGAGGAUAAAUGUAGAUCCGCACCCUUCGACGGUUGCACGAUGUCUGCUGGCUCGUGGUAUCAUACCUACUGACGGGGCACCUUCCCCUACGUUGGCUUAGACCGCCAUUUUCCCUAAAGUCGGUCGAUAAGUCGUCGAAUAGUUUUAGCCGUUUUUGUAUAGAUGGCGCUGGUUUUUAAUUUAUGGCGGUCUUUUUAAAAUACAAUUUUGUUAAACAAUUAUUUUAAUACUUUUUCAACUAAAAUCAUGACCCUUCGAGAACAAAGGCAUGUCCAGAGACUGUUUUUACAAUUGAAUUAUUAUAUAAUUAAGCGUGUGAAUGAGUACAAGUAAUUCUAGGCUGCAAAAAAAUACGCCAUUUAUCGCUGGUUUCUUUUUAAUAUCAAAUUGUAAGUAUAAUGAUUUUAUAAAAAUAUUCCAAAAAAGCGGUCACUCACAAUAAAGCAUCUCUGACGAUCGAAAUGUCGAAGUAUUAAUUUAUUUCUGGUAGAAAAGAGACAAAAGGGUAUUCACUAAUUCUUCAUCUUUAUUGUUACUGUGUAAAUAUGUAGGCACUGAACAAAUAAUGUUUCAUAAUUUGUUUACAAACAUUUACAUUUACUGAUCUCCAUUUUUUCUUUUUUAUUUAUUUAUUUUUUUCUGUUCAAUCAUUGAAUAUUCUCUGCGAGCAGCUUGACCAAAAGUAAGGUCAAGUCCGCUUUUAAUCCAUCUGCUCGACCAUUUUCUUUUAUUUUUUUUUUUAUUUUUUGUUCAUCAUUCAACACCCUCUUACGCGUAAAUACCGUUUAUCGUCUUUCAGCAUUGUAUGCGUUCGUCCCAAUUUCUAAUUACGAUCUCAAUAUUUCAUCAAUAAUAUAUAUAUAUAAUAUAUGUAUAUGUAUAUAUUUAUAUAUAUAUAUUUAUUUCGUUAUGUAUACUUUUUUUUUUUAAUCUCUAUCCGCUAAAUAUAUUGUUCUUCUAGUCUAAAAAUUACCACGAUUAUUAAAGAUAAUAUAUACUUCUGGGAAAUCAUAAUUAAAAUAAUAGUAAAUAUAAUAAUAUGUCAAACAUAUAUGUGUCCUGUGUCCAUCAUUGUGUUAUGCGUGUAAAAGAGAAAAAAGAUAGAAUGAUAAAAAGAGGGUGGUCGGAAGAGGUAAGAAGAGAAAGGUGGGACAGAGAUAUAAUAAGAUGUGGAUCACGGAAGGAAAUAUUCGACGAUAAACGAAAAUUCUAAACUUUGGCUAAGAGAAAAAACACGACAUAUUUACGUGAAACGGAGAAAAAGACGUCGUUUUUUUAUUUUUAGAAAUCGGGACACGUCGUCCCGUUCUCCGAUGAUUUUUUCCUACUACGCGAGUGUCAACCCUCGAACGACGAGCCAGGUCAAUCGUGACGAUUUAAUUAAAAUCAAGCGUACAAAUUUUUAAACAAAAUACUUCUAUACAUUGAUAUCAAAAGGAAUAGUUUAAAAUCUGGGAAGUAAAAAGUAAAUUAAGAUUGCCUUAGUGGUUCGUCAUACGAGGGUUGAAGUUAACACGUUGACUGGAACAGGUGAGAAUUGAAUUAUGUCAAAAGAAAAUUAAUAAAUUUUACUUGAUUUAACACCUCACCGACCGGAAGCUCAUUAAUGGACCUUUUGAUGGCAGUGGUUGUGUAUUAAAAUUUUGCUAUUCAUCAAAUGUUUAUUCAAGGGUUAAGUACUUAUAUUACUACUCCCUGUACCGAUAUGCGAUAAGAAACUGGCUUUUAAUAUUAUAUAAAGAUUAUUCCUUCCAAUUAAUUACUGUUAAGUUAUAAAGCUAUAGUGCUUAUCCAUUUAAUUCGCUAACGGAAGAUAAGGUGUUAAUAUCCUUAAUGAUCCAUAUUAUCUUGACACGGUUAUCUUUGCUGUCAGUCAACGUGUUAAAUAAAAUUAGUAAAAAGUUUUAAUGAAAUGAAUGAACGUACGAUGAUUUGCCAUUUAUAAAAGCCAAAUAAAAAUCGGAUCUCUUCUAGAGUGGAAAAGAGAGAAAGGACGAGAACAAAGAAUAAGAAGGACUUCGAAAUUGAUUUGUUUUGUUUGCUUGUUUGUUUGUUGCUUUUCUUUAUCACCUAACCGUUUCAGCCUUUUCUUCGUGUCUCAGGUAUAAAACUAAACGGGCGAUAAAGCCUUCGUGUAAAACUAUAUUCAUUACUCGUUAUACUUUGUUCUCUUCUAUUGUGCUCAAGUGUAACAACCUCUUUUGCUAUACAUGCGCGUAUCUUUCUUAUCUUUUUUUUUUUUAUCAUUUUUCUUUUUAUUACAUUGUUCUUCGUAUUUUGUAUACGUAUACACCUACCCCCUGAACGGAGGUUUCCGCGUAUCUGAAAAAUUGACAGACUCGAUUGCGUUCGUUAUACAUGAGACACUGACAAUGGCGAUGCUGUUCACCCAACAAUGAAAUUUUAUAAUGCUCGUUUAUUUAAAUCAACGACGAAUACAGUAGAACUUCAUUUGUUUAUCGAAAAAAGGAUUACCGAGGGAAUUAUGUUUGAAAGCUUUUAUGAGUUUUCAAAUUGGAAUUAGUACGUAAAAUAAAAUUAAAAAAAAAAAAAAAAAGAAAUGGAAUUGAA
This is a long non-coding RNA of Osmia bicornis bicornis, 2720 nucleotides long. RefSeq lists it as uncharacterized. The transcript is spliced from 2 exons. Lineage: Eukaryota; Metazoa; Arthropoda; Insecta; Hymenoptera; Megachilidae. The record is from RefSeq and is a predicted model, not a curated record.